UACAGAGGGUGCAAGCGUUAAUCGGAAUUACUGGGCGUAAAGCGUGCGUAGGCGGUUUCGUAAGUCGGGUGUGAAAGCCCCGGGCUCAACCUGGGAAUUGCAUUCGAGACUGCGAAGCUAGGGUGCGGAAGAGGGAAGCGGAAUUUCUGGUGUAGCGGUGAAAUGCGUAGAUAUCAGAAGGAACAUCAGUGGCGAAAGCGGCUUCCUGGUCCAGCGCCGACGCUCAGGCACGAAAGCGUGGGGAGCAAACAGG
This 253-nucleotide ribosomal RNA is filed under the name uncultured bacterium. RNAcentral's name for it is "partial 16S ribosomal RNA". It matches the Rfam family "Bacterial small subunit ribosomal RNA", at positions 524 to 776 of the family's 1533-position model. The record is from RNAcentral.